RNAcentral lists this ribosomal RNA (443 nucleotides) under uncultured bacterium. RNAcentral's name for it is "partial 16S ribosomal RNA". It matches the Rfam family "Bacterial small subunit ribosomal RNA", at positions 338 to 795 of the family's 1533-position model. The record is from RNAcentral.
CCUACGGGGGGCAGCAGUGGGGAAUAUUGGGCAAUGGGCGCAAGCCUGACCCAGCAACGCCGCGUGAAGGAAGAAGGCUUUCGGGUUGUAAACUUCUUUUGUCAGGGACGAAGCAAGUGACGGUACCUUACGACUACGCCACUGCUAACUACGUGACAGCAGCCGCGGUAAUACGUAGGUGGCAAGCGUUAGCCGGAUUUACUGGGUGUAAAGGGCGGGUAGGCGGGACUGCAAGUCAGAUGUGAAAACCACGGGCUCAACCUGGGGCCUGCAUUUGAAACUGUAGUUCUUGAGUACUGGAGAGGCAGACGGAAUUCCUAGUGUAGCGGUGAAAUGCGUAGAUAUUAGGAGGAACACCAGUGGCGAAGGCGGUCUGCUGGACAGCAACUGACGCUGAGGCGCGAAAGCGUGGGGAGCAAACAGGAUUAGAUACCCCUGUAGUC